Molecule: ribosomal RNA, 350 nt
Filed under: uncultured bacterium
Lineage: Bacteria
Description: bacterial SSU rRNA
Rfam family: Bacterial small subunit ribosomal RNA
Source: RNAcentral
UGGGGAAUAUUGGACAAUGGGGGAAACCCUGAUCCAGCAAUGCCGCGUGUGUGAAGAAGGCCUUCGGGUUGUAAAGCACUUUCAGUUGGGAGGAAGGAGAUUAUGUUAAUAGCAUAAUCUAUUGACGUUACCGACAGAAGAAGCACCGGCUAACUCUGUGCCAGCAGCCGCGGUAAUACAGAGGGUGCGAGCGUUAAUCGGAAUUACUGGGCGUAAAGGGUGCGUAGGUUGUUAUGUAAGUUAGAUGUGGAAUCCCUGGGCUUAACCUAGGAACUGCGUUUAAUACUGCAUAGCUAGAGUGCUGUAGAGGGUAGUGGAAUUUCCAGUGUAGCGGUGAAAUGCGUAGAUAU